UACGUAGGGGGCAAGCGUUGUCCGGAAUCAUUGGGCGUAAAGCGCGUGUAGGCGGCUCGGUAAGUCUGCUGUGAAAGUCCAGGGCUCAACCCUGGAAUGCCGGUGGAAACUGUCGGGCUAGAGUCCGGAAGAGGCGAGUGGAAUUCCUGGUGUAGCGGUGAAAUGCGCAGAUAUCAGGAGGAACACCGGUGGCGAAGGCGGGUCUCUGGGCCGAUACGUGACGCUGAGGCGCGAAGGCUAGGGGAGCGAAUGGG
RNAcentral lists this ribosomal RNA (254 nucleotides) under uncultured bacterium. RNAcentral's name for it is "partial 16S ribosomal RNA". It matches the Rfam family "Bacterial small subunit ribosomal RNA", at positions 524 to 776 of the family's 1533-position model. The record is from RNAcentral.